CUUGGUGAUGCCGUGAGCUGUGCACGGUCACAUCUGGUCCUCACUGGGCUUUCUGUGAGCCAGACACAGGUCUAAACCCUUUACGUGCACUUAUAAAUGUAGAGCUCACAAGGGCACCUAAAGAUAAGCACUAUUACCACUCCCACCUUAAGGUGGGGACACUGAGACACAGAGAGCUGAAGUAAAUUGCCCAAGGUCCUACAGUCAUAAGCACCCGAACCAUGGAGUGAACUCACGAAGGUGGGCUGAGGGGUCUGGAUCUCAAAAUCUCUCCUGUUGGCCUCAAGAGUGGAAUGGCCCUUCCCUGGCAUCCACAUUGUUCCAUCAACCUACGGACACAUUAUAGAAGAUUUGACUACACAUGGAGCACAGAAGGUGCAUAGUAUUCAUCUGGACGCUGUAAGAGUCAAGAUACAGUGGCUGCACUUUGGGGGAUGGUAAAGGCACUAACAGCCUCAUCUCAUGUAGACAGGAAAUUGUCUAACUUACACAGAGCAAGAAAUACACUCUCAUAUUUAAGUCGACAAGGAUAAACGACAUAAGAACUAAAGUGGAAACGAGGAAUAUUUGGAGAAGGAGAGUGAAGCUGUGGUUAGGGAAACAUAUGCUCCAUUUUCACAGCAGUGAGAAGAUAGUCUUGGUGGACAUUCCCUGAAAUGAAAAAAGUGCAAAGUACAAAGGAAACACUUCAGCUGCUUCAGUUUCCCCUGAGGACUGGAGCUAGAACUGAGAGAUGUAGAAGGGGAAACUGCCACUUUUCGUUCCAACACCUUUGUACUGUUUGAUUUGAUUUUAGCCAGGAGAUGUUUUGUUUCCAUUGUUGGAAGUUUGAUUGAAGCAUAGUUGAUUUACAACGUAGUGAUCACUUCUGCUGUACAGUAAGGUGAUUCAGUUGUACAUGCGCACACAUCCCUUCUCCUUGAGGUUCCUUUCCCACAUCGAUUGUCACAGCAUAUGGGGACGAUGUUAGCAGGUCCCUGUUGGCCAAUCAUUCCCUAUACCUCAGUGAGCAUAUGCCCAUCCCAAACCCCCAGGCCAUCCCUCCGCCCUCCCCUGUGCCCCUGGGUAACCAUAAGUUUGCCCUCAAAGUCUGUGGGUCGGUUUCUCUUCGGCAGCUGAGCUCCCUUGUGUCCUUUCUUAAGAUCCACAUAUAAGUGAUGCCAUAUGACGGUUGUCGUUCCCUGUCUGACUAACCAUGGAUCUUGGGAAGCACUAAUACACACAAGCAUCUUUGCACGGAGCUAACCCAUCCACCCAUACCAGUGGCCUCCUCUCCCCUCUCACCUACCCUAGAGCUUUGCUCUCUUGUUGGCCACCGACGUUUUCUGGUUACUCCUCUCCCUCCUGCUCUAAGAGGUAGCUCUUGGGUCUGAGAUCCUAUGUGGUUUCAGUCCAGUAUCUCUCAUCCCUCCAUCCCAUACGUGUCGAGGACUUAUCCACACUUGCCACUCCUCCUCGGUGCCACAUCUCUUUUAUGCUUCAUCCCGCGGCAAGCCGGCUUCAGACCCACCAUUCCACCAAAGGCUCUCCUGCUAAAGUGUAUCACAGCUUUCUGUCAGAUCAAUCGGGUCCUCUGUUUUCAUCUUUUGAGACGUCUUCCCUGUACGUUGACACAUUGAUCAUCCCAUCUUCCUUUAAACUUUCUACUUGGAGGUUCCCAUGGCAGCCAUUGGUUCCACCACCCCUGCACUAGGUCUGUCUUCUUUUUGGUCUGAACUACUACACACCAGGUGGAGCUCCCUGGGCGCUGGGCCCUGGACGUUCCCACUCUAUGCCUUGUCCCAUCAUAAUCCCAAUGACUCCUGAGGUUUCAGCCAAAACAAAUCAGAGGAUGACUCACAGUCUGCAUUUGCCUCCCAGAACUCACUUUGGACUUAAAUAUCCCCUUGCCACGGGACGUCUCUAUUCAAAUAUCCUCCAAGGGUCCAAAACCUGAUCAUCGUCCUACAAAUUAUUCGAACCUCCAGUAUUAUCUAUCUUGACAUUAGAAUAACACAGGGAGUGGGAGGGAUCUGGAGCUUGGGCUUAUCAGACACAACUUAGAAUAGAUUUACAAAGAGAUCCUGCUGAACAGCAUUGAGAACUAUGUCUAGAUACUCAUGUUGCAACAGAAGAAAAUGUGGGGAAAAACUGUAAUUGUAAUGUAUACAUGUAAGGAUAACCUGACCCCCUUGCUGUACAGUGGGAUAAUUAAAAAAAAAAAAAGAAUAACACAGGAACUGAAGUUCUCCUGAUGUUUUGGUCCCUCCACUACAUGCUACUUACCCAAGCAAACACCCACUCAUGCCAGCUUGAGGGCCUAAUUGUUUCUGGAAUCCAUUUCAGCCUGUCCAUGCAAACUACCGUGGCCCUAAUUCAGGGCCUCCUCAUCUCUGGCUCAGUUAUUACCACACCUUCCGAACUUCUUUCUCUCCCCAAGUCUUGUUUCUGUCAAUUGCACCUUGCACAUUGCCGGUCGGACCAACCCACUGAAAACUCAAUCCCGACUAUGUCACAUGUGUACUUAAAAUAUUUUAACCUUCAAAGAUCAAUCCUACGUCCAAGACACUGCCCUUCCUUCCCCUCCAGCCACAUUCCUUUUAUGACUCCAUGCCUUGAACUAGGGGCUGUUGCCAUAGCUAAGGUCUCGGGAUUUGUCUUCCACAUACCCCUUUCCUCUCCUCAGUGCAUUUGGUCCUCAUUUGGACCUGGCUGAUGUCUACACGACUCUCAACAAAACCAUCACUUCAGUGAAAAGCCCGGCCCCCGGGACAGGGGUGGCCCCUGGGAGUCUCCAGAAACAUUCGGAGCUUUGCUUCUCACAUCCUCCGCAGCAUGUGCCCUGUCCACUCAUCUCUUCACCCUCAGGCCUGCAGCCUUGGAACAGGGGGCCUGCAUCUCCCCUCUCCACCUUUUGGGACACAGGGCCCAAGAACUGCAACACCUUAGGUGCUGAAUGAAUAUUGGUGGAAUAAAGAAAUAAUGUUAAGUUCCUAAAUUGUCUUAUCUUACAUGAGCUUCGCAGCCAUCUUGAGUUUGGAAAGAAGAAGGUUUAGUGACCUCUGCUGUAGGCACUGGAAAAAAAUCACAUGUUAUCAGCACCUCCUUCUAUGCCCUCCUCCUUCCCACACACAACCCCUCACUGCCCACUGCCCACUCGAGCCUUCUGUGUUAUUGACAUGCAUACAGAGGGGACCUCAAGGAAAACCAGAAGCAUCAGGUAUCACACGACAUGUUUCCACAAUAUUUUCUUAGCCUCUUUGCUUCUAUUCUUUAUGAUGAACACUCCUUCUUAUCCUGCCUUACCUUACACCAUUUUUUGCUUGAAAAACAGUCGCAGGGCUGGUAAAUGACUUAAGCUUAAGAACAAAGACCUGAAGGCAUCGGUUAUUCAUGUGGUCAGCUGAAUGGGGACCUAAUGCAUUGGUCUAGGCAUGCCGGACCCGUGCAGGUAGGCAUGCCCACUCUUUGCACAGCAGGAUAUGUCCUCUACAGAAUAAGAUGAGGAUGAGCCUCAUGGCCCCAAGGGGUUUAUGAGGGGUCAUUAGCAGGAUAUGCAUUGGCAAGGAGAAUCUAAGUACAAACCUAGACAGGUCAGGGUGAUGCAGACAAGCACGUGGUCUGCAGAAGAUCAACGGUGAUUCUCUAUGCACAGGUAGCUCUCACCAAGCUUCCUCAAUGCAAAUGAUUGUUCAAUGCCAAAAGGUCAGAAUAAAAGCUUAAUCACCUACCAGCCAUGUGACUUUUAAAACAAUUUUUAAACAAAACCUAUAUCCUGCACCUACAACCCCUUCCUCACGUGACAUAAUCCUCAAGACCACAGUAAAAGCAGUGUGGUAUCUUGAGGCAACGCUCUUGGUCCCUGAGACCUUGAGUUUCCCGGUUCCAAUUUUCAUUAGGAGAAAUGUCUCUGUGUCUUGUUUUACGGUAACUUUUAAUUUAAGUAUAGGAGCACCCGUUCAGAAACACUCACAUUCUGAGCUGGUCUCAGCAAGAAAAAGAAAGUUUUAUGACCUCUGCUCUAGGCAGUAGAAAAAAAUCACAUGCACCUAAGCACUGCUGUUGCUGUCCUCCUCCUUCCCACACACCACCCCUCACUGCCCACUGCCCACUCCAUCCUUCUGUGUUAUUGACAUGCACACAGAGGGGACCUCAAGGAAAACCCGAAGCACCAGGUGGAUGAACUCCAGGAAGGACAGGACAUCAUUUGCAGAAGAAAACUGGUGAACGGGCCAUGGGACAGGAUGGUCAAGAGACACAAAACGAGCAAACACUGAGUCAUUCUGAAGAGCUGAAAGGGGCGACUGAGGGACAAAGAGAGGAGAGACUGAGAGAUGCAGAGAGGAGGGUAGAGGACAGGAGAGGAAGGAGGAAGAGGGGAGGGGAGGGAGGGAGAAGGUGAAAGAGAAGUUAAAGGCCACUGCCCUGCAGAGAUGAAUACACAUUUGAGGAUAUGAAAGCAUGUUAAAGUCUCUUGCUGCAGUGUAAUUCCAGUUUGCUCUUUUUAACGAAGUGUCAACUAUUGAAGUUGCAAUGGUGUUUAUUUUUUUAACAACUUCAGAUUAGUAUUUCUUUGAAUGCAACCUGUGCUGAAGCCAGAACCAGAAAGUUCAGCUUCCUUCCAAGUAUAUGUUAUGAAGAUGUGUUCAGCUCUUUAGAACCUAAGGUGCAAGUUGCAUCCACCUCUUGAAUUAAGUAACUACCCCAGGACUCAGCCAGGCACCUUAGCCUGCCAGUAGCUGGGCUGCUAAACUUGCAGAGCAAAGAGUGGCACUCACUCUAAACACUGUUGCAUAUACACCACUUGUGAAUGGGCUUAGCAAUCAGGUGGACAGAUGUUGUAAAGGCUCCUCAGAAUUCAGAAAUCCUGUGUCCUCAGGGGAUAGGCAGGCUUUGCAUAGCUUCACAUCCAAGGCAGCAUGGGGAGUCUCUUUGUGGCUAAGGAUUAAGGCGUCCUCACAGCGGCAGCCUGGGACACUGCUCUGGUUCUGAUGGAGAGUUAAUGUCUGGACAGGGAACUAUGGCUGCAG
This 5009-nucleotide long non-coding RNA is filed under the name Sus scrofa (pig). Its description in RNAcentral is "lncRNA (ENSSSCG00000058787.1)". Lineage: Eukaryota; Metazoa; Chordata; Mammalia; Artiodactyla; Suidae. The record is from RNAcentral.